AGAGUUUGAUCCUGGCUCAGGACGAACGCUGGCGGCGUGCUUAACACAUGCAAGUCAAGGGGGCCCAGCAAUGGGCAACCGGCGAACGGGUGCGUAACACGUGAGCAACCUACCGAACUGUGGGGGAUAGCCGGCCUAACGGCCGAGUAAUACCGCAUACGCUUUCGAUGAGGCAUUUCAUUGAAAGGAAACCUACGGGACAGAUCGAGGGGCUCGCGGCCUAUCAGCUAGUUGGCGAGGUAACGGCUCACCAAGGCGACGACGGGUAGCUGGUCUGAGAGGAUGGCCAGCCACAUUGGGACUGAGAUACGGCCCAGACUCCUACGGGAGGCAGCAGUGGGGAAUCUUGCGCAAUGGCCUAACGGCUGACGCAGCGACGCCGCGUGAGGGAAGAAGGCCUUCGGGUUGUAAACCUCUUUCAGGAGGGACGAAGCCACUCGGGUUAAUACCCCAGAGGGUGACGGUACCUCCAGAAGAAGCCCCGGCUAACUACGUGCCAGCCGCCGCGGUAAUAC
Molecule: ribosomal RNA, 515 nt
Filed under: uncultured bacterium
Lineage: Bacteria
Description: bacterial SSU rRNA
Rfam family: Bacterial small subunit ribosomal RNA
Source: RNAcentral